Long non-coding RNA from Monomorium pharaonis (pharaoh ant), 1422 nucleotides. RefSeq lists it as uncharacterized. The record is from RefSeq and is a predicted model, not a curated record. Lineage: Eukaryota; Metazoa; Arthropoda; Insecta; Hymenoptera; Formicidae. The transcript is spliced from 2 exons.
UAACCUGCCUCUUUCUUUUUCGCGUAACGUGCAACAAGUGCACUUUGUCUAAAUGAUGUUCUAAGAUCGUUCACCCCUAAACUCCCCUGAUCUUUUCAAGGGAAAUGUAUAUAAUUUUUUUUGUUCCAAUUUAACAUUCUACGUUGCGACGAUUUGCAUGACAAAGUAACAAUUUGCCUAUCUUGUCGUCGAAUAGCGAACGAGAAAUACGCGCGCUCGUACGUGAGCGUGGGCAGCAGCCGAGGGAUCGGUUUUCAUCGGUUAUAGUCAAGCCUACCUCCAACCUAUGCUUGUUAGUCGUCAUGCUACCAAGAUAAUCCUUGAUCUCUAAGUCAAGCGUUCGUCGUUAGAGUAAGCCUAUGUCGGCCAUUGUCUUCGUAACGAUAGCGAUCAAUCGGUAUGGUUCGACGCCCCCGGCGACACCAUAGGCGAUCCUCAUUCCAAUCUCGGAUAUCGGCUUCAUCGUUCUGGCACUGCGUCUCCGAAAUGUCUUCAUUUAUCUUAUUCAAAUGAGACGUUUUCGGAUAGCUUUUAUUUGAAUAAAAGAAAACGACCCUUUUAAGAAAUUCGAAAAUUAAGACUCGUGCGAUAUAUAUCGCAAUUAUUUCACAUUUAUUUUAUAAAUAUAAUACAUUUCUGUUUUUAAUUAAAAAAAAUUUUUUCCUUUACUUUUUAAAAAUCAAUUAUAGAGUUUAUUUAUAUACUUAAAGUUGCCUUGAUAUAAAAUGAUAUAAAAUACCAACCGUCUUUUUAAUAAGACUGGUUCUGGACUCAUUCAGUGUCAGGACCAUUUCCGCAUCUGGAUGCGGGUAUCAGACCGGAUUGAUAGAGUGGCAGUAACUCGGUAGCUGAAAAUGGGAGUGGUUGGGAGACAAGAGGACAACUCGCUCAAAGACAUCUUCGUGGCGCCUCUGCGCGACUGCAAGGAAUGAAGGAACCCAGUGGGUCUCAGCCGUUAGGCAAACCAUUAUGAAUCUCCCACUCUACGCGCUGGACGCAAGAACUCGAAUGGUGAAGCAAUCCGUACACCUGUUGCCUAGAUCCAUGAUUUAUUUCGAAGAUUUCCUUUCUUCUUGUAUCUCUCGCGCCACACGUUUCUCUACGCAUUGUGCGUGGGUUGCGAGUGGAAUAUUUUUCACGUGCGCGGGACAAAACGCGCGACGUGAAAUAUUCUCGUACACGGCGAUGCAUCAAUUCGAAGACGCUACACUUGAGGGGGUGGAAAGGGGGAUAGCGGAGAAAAGGGGGAAAUCUCGGGAGCACGAGAAGAAAUAAAGGAUCUCAGCUCCGUGAAUAGUCUCCUCUUCGAUUCGAUACGAUCGGAGAUCUUUGCUAGGCUAAUACAGAGGGUAGCAUGCGUACCGCAUUGUUAACUUGCAUGUCUCUCGCAUUCGUAACUGAAAAAAUAAAAAAAGAAAAAAA